Pelobates cultripes (western spadefoot toad) is the source of this 288-nucleotide non-coding RNA. The record is from the annotation of a GenBank genome assembly. Lineage: Eukaryota; Metazoa; Chordata; Amphibia; Anura; Pelobatidae.
GCUGUCACUCACCAGAUAAUAAUUAGCAUAAAAGGGGAUGGUGGGUAGUGGUGGGAUUCCCCAGUGCAAUGGAACCCAUUUUGACACUAAUGAAGGUUCUUUGUAGAAUAUAUUUUAGGAUACAUCAUUAUGAAGAGUCAUGUAUAUUCUGUGUAGCUGUAUGAGGGCUGAUGUGGGUGUUCCAGGUGCAGUAUGCACUCUGUCACACAGGCUGGAGCAAACAGACAGAGCUAGUAGCAGCCAUGUGAUAUCCCCUCUCUCUGCUGCAGCAACACAGGGGAGGGCGUG